RNAcentral lists this long non-coding RNA (1251 nucleotides) under Homo sapiens (human). Its description in RNAcentral is "HSALNT0079597". Lineage: Eukaryota; Metazoa; Chordata; Mammalia; Primates; Hominidae. The record is from RNAcentral.
CGGUUCUCUAAUUUGACUCAGCUUCAGAUUGGAAUGUUUCUCUCCUCACUGGGAAAAGCUCCUUUGGUCUCAGUGAACUCAGAGGUGGAGAAAGUCAUAAGAAUCAGGGAGCCUGCCCCAAAUUGCCUCCUAUGAUAACUUUCCACAAAGACUGGAGGGGAGGCUUCAAACAUCUUCCUGCAGUGUCCAGCAAGACAGCGAGGCAGACUCCCUUUCUCCUGCCAAAGCCACGUGGAGCCAGACAGAACCACAAGCAUACCUGUGGUGCUUGGAGGCCCAAGUAGAAACUUGAAUGCUCACGGCUGCAUUGGCAGCUUCUACUUGCCUGCCUGGAUCACCGUUCCUCAUGAGAACUUGGAAAAGCAGGACUAUCAUUCUUGCUUGACAGACGAAGAAACCAAGCCUCAGUUUUGUAGGCUCCUACCAGUGAAAGCCUCCUCACAACUCUCUUCUUCUCCCCAAGGACUGCGUGCAAUUCUACUUGGAGAUCUUCAUAACACCUUAAGGGAAAAAUCCUUUUUGAAAGAAAAACAAGUCUGGGUGGUGCUUGAAAAUUCAGAAGGCAGCUAGAAACUCUGCCAAUUACAACUGGUGAUUGCUGAGUUCUGGAGACAGACUGGGCUUCUGCUUUCUUUUGGUGGAGGUGUCUGCUUGCAGAAAAUUUAUGUUCUGGGAUUUACAACUUCAGGGAGACAAAGGAAACUCCAGCUCAUCUCCCACAUCAUUGAUUGAGAGGACCAUUUUCUGACUGUCUGCACACGUUUCCUAUACUACCCUUUAAUGCAACAAUGGGAUGAAGAGAUGAAGACUUCUAGCAGGCUACCUCAGAAAGGUUGCUGACCAAAGGCUGUAUGGACCAAAAAGUCAUAACACCACCCUGGAUGAAAGGACAUUUACCUAAGGAAUUACCCGCUCUCAAUUCUUCCCAGGUGCAUGUAGUAUAGAUUAAAUAAGGUGGUUGUAUGGCAACAGAGACAUUAUUAGAAACAUUCUUCUUGAAGUUUGACAACAAAGCAGUAGAUGUGUAUCUACUACAGAGUUGUUAGUGAAAAAAGGGAUGGGCAUUUGAAUUAUUUCCAGUUUUUGGCUAUUAUGAAAAAAACUGCUAUGAACAUUCAUACACAAGUGUGUGUGUGGACCCAUGUUUUCACUGAUCAAGGCCUAAAUACCUACGUGGUGCUUCGUGAACCCUGGAUGCUACAGUCUCUGGCCACAGCACUAAAUGUAUGCUGAGAUCUGGCUUCACGGUCG